UGCGUAGGCGGGUUUCUAAGUCAGAGGUGAAAGCCUGGAGCUCAACUCCAGAACUGCCUUUGAUACUGGAAGUCUUGAGUAUGGCAGAGGUGAGUGGAACUGCGAGUGUAGAGGUGAAAUUCGUAGAUAUUCGCAAGAACACCAGUGGCGAAGGCGGCUCACUGGGCCAUUACUGACGCUGAGGCACGAAAGGCGUGGGAAGCAAACA
Molecule: ribosomal RNA, 208 nt
Filed under: uncultured bacterium
Lineage: Bacteria
Description: partial 16S ribosomal RNA
Rfam family: Bacterial small subunit ribosomal RNA
Source: RNAcentral